This 492-nucleotide ribosomal RNA is filed under the name uncultured bacterium. RNAcentral's name for it is "partial 16S ribosomal RNA". It matches the Rfam family "Bacterial small subunit ribosomal RNA", at positions 29 to 507 of the family's 1533-position model. The record is from RNAcentral.
AGUGAACGCUGGCGGUAGGCCUAACACAUGCAAGUCGAACGGCAGCACAGUAAGAGCUUGCUCUUACGGGUGGCGAGUGGCGGACGGGUGAGGAAUACAUCGGAAUCUACUUUUUCGUGGGGGAUAACGUAGGGAAACUUACGCUAAUACCGCAUACGACCUACGGGUGAAAGCAGGGGAUCUUCGGACCUUGCGCGAUUGAAUGAGCCGAUGUCGGAUUAGCUAGUUGGCGGGGUAAAGGCCCACCAAGGCGACGAUCCGUAGCUGGUCUGAGAGGAUGAUCAGCCACACUGGAACUGAGACACGGUCCAGACUCCUACGGGAGGCAGCAGUGGGGAAUAUUGGACAGAGGGCGCAAGCCUGAUCCAGCCAUACCGCGUGGGUGAAGAAGGCCUUCGGGUUGUAAAGCCCUUUUGUUGGGAAAGAAAAGCAGCAGGUUAAUACCCCGCUGUUCUGACGGUACCCAAAGAAUAAGCACCGGCUAACUUCGUG